CCUUCACUCUAAGCUUUUCCUCCUCCAACACCUCAUAGCUCUCCAAAUCCUCAGUAACAUUUGUUCCUUCUGCGGCGUAUGAUGGGCAGCCGGCGUGAGCGAGGCAGCCAGCGGUCAAACGGGGAAGUACUCUCUCUAUUUUUGGCCCCAUGUUUUCCCCUCGACGGAGGCUGAGAGGGAAUGAGGGGGCGGGAGAGGGGAAACUAACCAGUCGCGAUUUGAGGGGUGAGGUGUGGGGGUGUCGGCCGCGCUGGUAGUGGCUUUCUGUCUCUCUCUCUCUUUCUCCUUGAAGCUUUUUUUUACAAUCCCGGCUAUUCCGUCCUCGCAUCUUAGGUUCCUUUCCCGGCGCGGUGUGGAGGGAGGACACAGGAUUCCACACUUGAGGUGAGCGAGGCCGUCACCUGAGGCUGCCAGACGCCCAGCCGAGUGCCAGGUGCCGGCGACAGGUAUGUGAGAGUGUCCACCUGCAUCACUACCCAAACUGGCGACUAAAGGUAAAAAAAAAAAAAAAAAAAUGAAAAGAAAAAAAAAAAAAGGCGGGAACGGAAUGGAAGGAGGAACGAAAAAUAGAAGUGAAGAAAAUGAUUGAAAAAAAGGAAAUUAAAGCAAAAGAAGAAUAAAGAAGGAAACAGGAGGGAAAGAGUAACCUUUAGGGAUGAAGGAAGGAAAGGUGAGAGCAGGAGCAGACAUGGGGAGAGAAGAAUAAAGACGGAAAAACGGAGGUGGCAAAGAGG
Portunus trituberculatus (swimming crab) is the source of this 734-nucleotide long non-coding RNA. RefSeq lists it as uncharacterized. The record is from RefSeq and is a predicted model, not a curated record. NCBI's taxonomy places the organism in Eukaryota, Metazoa, Arthropoda, Malacostraca, Decapoda, Portunidae. The transcript has 3 exons.